This 97-nucleotide signal recognition particle RNA is filed under the name Frigoribacterium sp. PhB118. RNAcentral describes it as "Bacterial small signal recognition particle RNA". It matches the Rfam family "Bacterial small signal recognition particle RNA". From Rfam's summary of the family: The signal recognition particle (SRP) is a universally conserved ribonucleoprotein involved in the co-translational targeting of proteins to membranes. Archaeal SRP consists of a 7S RNA and homologues of the eukaryotic SRP19 and SRP54 proteins. The record is from RNAcentral. RNAcentral also lists the same sequence under 7 other names. Lineage: Bacteria; Bacillati; Actinomycetota; Actinomycetes; Micrococcales; Microbacteriaceae.
CGAGGCUCCUCACGUGGCGUCAUCCAGGCCAAUUCCCCCAGGGCAGAAAUGCAGCAAGGGUAACCGGGCUCUGACGGGUGCGUGAGGGGUCAUUUCU